RNAcentral lists this ribosomal RNA (445 nucleotides) under uncultured Propionibacterium sp. RNAcentral describes it as "bacterial SSU rRNA". It matches the Rfam family "Bacterial small subunit ribosomal RNA", at positions 338 to 795 of the family's 1533-position model. The record is from RNAcentral. Lineage: Bacteria; Bacillati; Actinomycetota; Actinomycetes; Propionibacteriales; Propionibacteriaceae.
CCUACGUGGGGCAGCAGUGGGGAAUAUUGCACAAUGGGCGGAAGCCUGAUGCAGCAACGCCGCGUGCGGGAUGACGGCCUUCGGGUUGUAAACCGCUUUCGCCUGUGACGAAGCGUGAGUGACGGUAAUGGGUAAAGAAGCACCGGCUAACUACGGGCCAGCAGCCGCUGUGAUACGUAGGGUGCGAGCGUUGUCCGGAUUUAUUGGGCGUAAAGGGCUCGUAGGUGGUUGAUCGCGUCGGAAGUGUAAUCUUGGGGCUUAACCCUGAGCGUGCUUUCGAUACGGGUUGACUUGAGGAAGGUAGGGGAGAAUGGAAUUCCUGGUGGAGCGGUGGAAUGCGCAGAUAUCAGGAGGAACACCAGUGGCGAAGGCGGUUCUCUGGGCCUUUCCUGACGCUGAGGAGCGAAAGCGUGGGGAGCGAACAGGAUUAGAUACCCCGGUAGUC